Long non-coding RNA from Erpetoichthys calabaricus (reedfish), 189 nucleotides. RefSeq lists it as uncharacterized. NCBI's taxonomy places the organism in Eukaryota, Metazoa, Chordata, Cladistia, Polypteriformes, Polypteridae. The transcript has 3 exons. The record is from RefSeq and is a predicted model, not a curated record.
GACCCACCUGAGCAGCCCCUCAGUCAUGUUCAGUUGGACUAUCACUAGCAGACCCUUCGGCUAUUCCAGUAUCGCCAAAUUCUCCAGUUUAGUCCAACCAGUUUUAACAGAUAUCAUGAUGGAAGAAUUUAAGGUCCUUCACACGCACCACUUUUUAAAUGACCAAUCUUUUUACAGCUAUGCCAGAAU